This 394-nucleotide ribosomal RNA is filed under the name Oikopleura sp. RNAcentral describes it as "partial small subunit ribosomal RNA". It matches the Rfam family "Eukaryotic small subunit ribosomal RNA", at positions 582 to 975 of the family's 1831-position model. Lineage: Eukaryota; Metazoa; Chordata; Appendicularia; Copelata; Oikopleuridae. The record is from RNAcentral.
AUUCCAGCUCCAAUAGCGUAUACUAAAGUUGUUGCGGUUAAAGAGCUCGUAGUUGGAUCUUGGAAUGUGUUCAAGCGGGUCAGCUUCUGGCUGUUCGCUGCUUGACGUGUUCUUCUAUUUGGUUUUGGUGCGGUGCGCUUAACUGCGUGUCGCUCCCGGCCGAAACGUUUACCUUGAAAAAAUUAGAGUGUUCAAAGCAGACCUGUUUGAGUCUGAAUAUUCGUGCAUGGAAUAAUGAAAUAUGAAUUCGGUUCUAUUUUGUUGGUUUUCGGAACUCGAGUUAAUGACCAAGAGGGACAGACGGGGGCAUUCGUACUCUGCCGUUAGAGGUGAAAUUCUUGGAUCGGCGGAAGACGCGCAACUGCGAAAGCAUUUGCCAAGAAUGUUUUCAUCA